CGAGUGGCGGACGGGUGAGUAAUGCUUGGGAACUUGCCUUUGCGAGGGGGAUAACAGUUGGAAACGACUGCUAAUACCGCAUAAUGUCUUCGGACCAAACGGGGCUUCGGCUCCGGCGCAAAGAGAGGCCCAAGUGAGAUUAGCUAGUUGGUAAGGUAACGGCUUACCAAGGCGACGAUCUCUAGCUGUUCUGAGAGGAAGAUCAGCCACACUGGGACUGAGACACGGCCCAGACUCCUACGGGAGGCAGCAGUGGGGAAUAUUGCACAAUGGGGGAAACCCUGAUGCAGCCAUGCCGCGUGUGUGAAGAAGGCCUUCGGGUUGUAAAGCACUUUCAGUUGUGAGGAAAAGUUAGUAGUUAAUACCUGCUAGCCGUGACGUUAACAACAGAAGAAGCACCGGCUAACUCCGUGCCAGCAGCCGCGGUAAUACGGAGGGUGCGAGCGUUAAUCGGAAUUACUGGGCGUAAAGCGCACGCAGGCGGUUUGUUAAGCUAGAUGUGAAAGCCCCGGGCUCAACCUGGGAUGGUCAUUUAGAACUGGCAGACUAGAGUCUUGGAGAGGGGAGUGGAAUUCCAGGUGUAGCGGUGAAAUGCGUAGAUAUCUGGAGGAACAUCAGUGGCGAAGGCGACUCCCUGGCCAAAGACUGACGCUCAUGUGCGAAAGUGUGGGUAGCGAACAGGAUUAGAUACCCUGGUAGUCCACACCGUAAACGCUGUCUACUAGCUGUGUGUG
Molecule: ribosomal RNA, 734 nt
Filed under: Alteromonadales bacterium HOT1B9
Lineage: Bacteria; Pseudomonadati; Pseudomonadota; Gammaproteobacteria; Alteromonadales
Also listed under: 10 other names
Description: bacterial SSU rRNA
Rfam family: Bacterial small subunit ribosomal RNA
Source: RNAcentral